This 553-nucleotide long non-coding RNA is filed under the name Carica papaya (papaya). Its description in RNAcentral is "long non-coding RNA (CPAP_LNC009788)". The record is from RNAcentral. Lineage: Eukaryota; Viridiplantae; Streptophyta; Magnoliopsida; Brassicales; Caricaceae.
AAUGAAGUUCCUAAUUUAAGUAAAUUCAUUUAUCAUAAAUAAAAUCAUUUAUUGUACACUUACUGUGGUAAAAUUUCUAAAACUAACAUAUAGAGACAAUAACACAACAAUAUCAUAAUUUUAUUUCAAUUAAUCAAAACAACAACUUUCUCUUUUAACCUGUCUACUGGUAUCCAUGGGGGUCCAUAGAGAUGCCCCCACUACAUGUGAACCCUUAUUCAACAUUAUUAAUUAACCGGUCGUCCUCAUACCUCGUCCGAUAUGAGCACCAAAAAUAUCAUCCCUCAAUACCAUGUCCGUUAUGAGGGUGAAACAGGCUAUCUCCAUACCCCGUCUAGUAUGAGCGCCAAAAAUACCAAUUUUCGAUACCUCGUCUGAUAUGAGACAAUGUUCACGGUAGGGUUCUCUAUAUACCCAAUCUGUCCACCAUCUUUCAGGAUAUUCAAUAAGUCUAACAUUCAUUCAUUCACUUAAGCAAAUAAUUUUCUAUUUACAUCUAAUAUCUAGUUUCACAAUUUAACUGUAAAUCACGCAAAACAAGCAAUAGAUGCAU